This 3000-nucleotide ribosomal RNA is filed under the name Salmonella enterica subsp. enterica serovar Typhimurium. Its description in RNAcentral is "23S ribosomal RNA". It matches the Rfam family "Bacterial large subunit ribosomal RNA". The record is from RNAcentral. Lineage: Bacteria; Pseudomonadati; Pseudomonadota; Gammaproteobacteria; Enterobacterales; Enterobacteriaceae.
GGGUUGUGAGGUUAAGCGACUAAGCGUACACGGUGGAUGCCCUGGCAGUCAGAGGCGAUGAAGGGCGUGCUAAUCUGCGAUAAGCGCCGGUAAGGUGAUAUGAACCGUUAUAACCGGCGAUACCCGAAUGGGGAAACCCAGUGUGAUUCGUCACACUAUCAUUAACUGAAUCCAUAGGUUAAUGAGGCGAACCGGGGGAACUGAAACAUCUAAGUACCCCGAGGAAAAGAAAUCAACCGAGAUUCCCCCAGUAGCGGCGAGCGAACGGGGAGGAGCCCAGAGCCUGAAUCAGCAUGUGUGUUAGUGGAAGCGUCUGGAAAGGCGCGCGAUACAGGGUGACAGCCCCGUACACAAAAGCGCAUGUGCUGUGAGCUCGAUGAGUAGGGCGGGACACGUGGUAUCCUGUCUGAAUAUGGGGGGACCAUCCUCCAAGGCUAAAUACUCCUGACUGACCGAUAGUGAACCAGUACCGUGAGGGAAAGGCGAAAAGAACCCCGGCGAGGGGAGUGAAAAAGAACCUGAAACCGUGUACGUACAAGCAGUGGGAGCACCCUUCGGGGUGUGACUGCGUACCUUUUGUAUAAUGGGUCAGCGACUUAUAUUCUGUAGCAAGGUUAACCGUAUAGGGGAGCCGGAGGGAAACCGAGUCUUAAUUGGGCGUUAAGUUGCAGGGUAUAGACCCGAAACCCGGUGAUCUAGCCAUGGGCAGGUUGAAGGUUGGGUAACACUAACUGGAGGACCGAACCGACUAAUGUUGAAAAAUUAGCGGAUGACCUGUGGCUGGGGGUGAAAGGCCAAUCAAACCGGGAGAUAGCUGGUUCUCCCCGAAAGCUAUUUAGGUAGCGCCUCGUGAAUUCAUCUCCGGGGGUAGAGCACUGUUUCGGCUAGGGGGCCAUCCCGGCUUACCAACCCGAUGCAAACUGCGAAUACCGGAGAAUGUUAUCACGGAGACACACGGCGGGUGCUAACGUCCGUCGUGAAGAGGGAAACAACCCAGACCGCCAGCUAAGGUCCCAAAGUCAUGGUUAAGUGGGAAACGAUGUGGGAAGGCCCAGACAGCCAGGAUGUUGGCUUAGAAGCAGCCAUCAUUUAAAGAAAGCGUAAUAGCUCACUGGUCGAGUCGGCCUGCGCGGAAGAUGUAACGGGGCUAAACCAUGCACCGAAGCUGCGGCAGCGAACGUAUCACCCAAGACAACUUUACGGAGUUGACGAUUGACGGAGCGAAGCGACGUCAAGCGUUCAUUAAGUCGAGUUGGCUUAGGGAUACGUUCGUUGGUAGGGAGCGUUCUGUAAGCCUGUGAAGGUGUGUCGUGAGGCAUGCUGGAGGUAUCAGAAGUGCGAAUGCUGACAUAAGUAACGAUAAAGCGGGUGAAAAGCCCGCUCGCCGGAAGACCAAGGGUUCCUGUCCAACGUUAAUCGGGGCAGGGUGAGUCGACCCCUAAGGCGAGGCCGAAAGGCGUAGUCGAUGGGAAACGGGUUAAUAUUCCCGUACUUGGUGUUACUGCGAAGGGGGGACGGAGAAGGCUAUGUUGGCCGGGCGACGGUUGUCCCGGUUUAAGCGUGUAGGUGUGUGUUCCGUAAAUCCGGUUCACUUUAACACUGAGGCGUGACGACGAGGCACUACGGUGCUGAAGCAACAAAUGCCCUGCUUCCGGGAAAGCCUCUAAGCAUCAGGUAACACGAAAUCGUACCCCAAACCGACACAGGUGGUCAGGUAGAGAAUACCAAGGCGCUUGAGAGAACUCGGGUGAAGGAACUAGGCAAAAUGGUGCCGUAACUUCGGGAGAAGGCACGCUGACACGUAGGUGAAGUGAUUUACUCAUGGAGCUGAAGUCAGUCGAAGAUACCAGCUGGCUGCAACUGUUUAUUAAAAACACAGCACUGUGCAAACACGAAAGUGGACGUAUACGGUGUGACGCCUGCCCGGUGCCGGAAGGUUAAUUGAUGGGGUCAGCGUAAGCGAAGCUCCUGAUCGAAGCCCCGGUAAACGGCGGCCGUAACUAUAACGGUCCUAAGGUAGCGAAAUUCCUUGUCGGGUAAGUUCCGACCUGCACGAAUGGCGUAAUGAUGGCGAGGCUGUCUCCACCCGAGACUCAGUGAAAUUGAACUCGCUGUGAAGAUGCAGUGUACCCGCGGCAAGACGGAAAGACCCCGUGAACCUUUACUAUAGCUUGACACUGAACAUUGAGCCUUGAUGUGUAGGAUAGGUGGGAGGCUUUGAAGUGUGGACGCCAGUCUGCAUGGAGCCGACCUUGAAAUACCACCCUUUAAUGUUUGAUGUUCUAACGUGGACCCGUAAUCCGGGUUGCGGACAGUGUCUGGUGGGUAGUUUGACUGGGGCGGUCUCCUCCUAAAGAGUAACGGAGGAGCACGAAGGUUGGCUAAUCCUGGUCGGACAUCAGGAGGUUAGUGCAAUGGCAUAAGCCAGCUUGACUGCGAGCGUGACGGCGCGAGCAGGUGCGAAAGCAGGUCAUAGUGAUCCGGUGGUUCUGAAUGGAAGGGCCAUCGCUCAACGGAUAAAAGGUACUCCGGGAUAACAGGCUGAUACCGCCCAAGAGUUCAUAUCGACGGCGGUGUUUGGCACCUCGAUGUCGGCUCAUCACAUCCUGGGGCUGAAGUAGGUCCCAAGGGUAUGGCUGUUCGCCAUUUAAAGUGGUACGCGAGCUGGGUUUAGAACGUCGUGAGACAGUUCGGUCCCUAUCUGCCGUGGGCGCUGGAGAACUGAGGGGCUGCUCCUAGUACGAGAGGACCGGAGUGGACGCAUCACUGGUGUUCGGGUUGUCAUGCCAAUGGCACUGCCCGGUAGCUAAAUGCGGAAGAGAUAAGUGCUGAAAGCAUCUAAGCACGAAACUUGCCCCGAGAUGAGUUCUCCCUGAGACUUAGAGUCUCCUGAAGGAACGUUGAAGACGACGACGUUGAUAGGCCGGGUGUGUAAGCGCAGCGAUGCGUUGAGCUAACCGGUACUAAUGAACCGUGAGGCUUAACCUUACAACGCCGAAG